UUAUCUUUUGGAACAAAGCAACGAGUCAAUGUGAUUGACUUGAUAGGAUAGAAGAAUGAAAUGAGGAACAAAGAUACCAAGGCAAGCCCAUUUAUUUUAGGAAUGAUCUAAAUUUUGGACAUUUGAUUUCUUUUUUUUGAAUUUAAUUUCCGUUAUUCAUUUUUUAAUUUCUUUAAAAUGUUACUAUGUGGUGUUUUAACAAGCAAUGAAUUUUUCGGCAUCAAAUGGUAUGAACUUGUACAUGCU
This 246-nucleotide long non-coding RNA is filed under the name Gossypium barbadense (sea-island cotton). RNAcentral describes it as "long non-coding RNA (GBAR_LNC008173)". Lineage: Eukaryota; Viridiplantae; Streptophyta; Magnoliopsida; Malvales; Malvaceae. The record is from RNAcentral.